RNAcentral lists this ribosomal RNA (253 nucleotides) under uncultured bacterium. RNAcentral describes it as "partial 16S ribosomal RNA". It matches the Rfam family "Bacterial small subunit ribosomal RNA", at positions 524 to 776 of the family's 1533-position model. The record is from RNAcentral.
UACGUAGGUGGCAGGCGUUGUCCGGAUUUACUGGGCGUAAAGAGCGCGCAGGCGGUCGAGUAAGUCGAAUGUGAAAGCCCCCGGCUUAACUGGGGAGGGUCAUUCGAUACUGUUCGACUUGAAGGCAGGAGAGGGCAGCAGAAUUUCCGGUGUAGUGGUGAAAUGCGUAGAUAUCGGAAGGAACAUCAGUGGCGAAAGCGACUUCCUGGACCAGUACCGACGUUCAGGCACGAAAGCGUGGGGAGCAAACAGG